This 498-nucleotide ribosomal RNA is filed under the name uncultured bacterium. Its description in RNAcentral is "partial 16S ribosomal RNA". It matches the Rfam family "Bacterial small subunit ribosomal RNA", at positions 30 to 523 of the family's 1533-position model. The record is from RNAcentral.
AUUGAACGCUGGCGGCAUGCCUUACACAUGCAAGUCGAACGGUAACGGGCCUUCGGGUGCCGACGAGUGGCGAACGGGUGAGUAAUGUACCGGAACGUACCUUUCAGUGGGGGAUAACGUAGCGAAAGUUACGCUAAUACCGCAUAUUCUGUGAGCAGGAAAGCGGGGGAUCGCAAGACCUUGCGCUGAUUGAGCGGCCGAUAUCAGAUUAGCUAGUUGGUGAGGUAAAGGCUCACCAAGGCGACGAUCUGUAGCGGGUCUGAGAGGAUGAUCCGCCACACUGGAACUGAGACACGGUCCAGACUCCUACGGGAGGCAGCAGUGGGGAAUUUUGGACAAUGGGGUCAAACCUGAUCCAGCCAUGCCGCGUGAGUGAAGAAGGCCUUCGAGUUGUAAAGCUCUUUCGGCCGGGAAGAAAUCGCAUGGGUUAAUACCCUGUGCGGAUGACGGUACCGGCAUAAGAAGCACCGGCUAACUACGUGCCAGCCGCCGCCGUAA